ACUUCAAACACCACCACCUAAAUAAAGCUCAGUUCCCACUGCACCAACAAGCCACAGCCGAGAGUUCUGUGCAACAAAUGCGUUUCUGAAGUUCCGGAAGCCUGGACAUAGCAGUAAUUCCAGGACAAGACAGUUGGACAGCCCGCGGGGGUGGGGGUCAGGAGGAAUGGCUCCCCAGACUCCUGAACAGAGGAUGGUGACCCAAUCAGGGAACACGUCUCAACCCAACAUUGAAAGGACAAAGUUGCGUCUGCAGGCUUCCUCUUAAUUCUAUGGAUCAUGCAAUAGUCUUUCAAGAAAUUAUCUUCUGCUUAGCUAGUCACUUCCUGUUGCUAGAACCAUGAAGAGGCCUGGUGAAAGAUGUUCAGUAUACUACCUGCAUCAGCUGCUACUGCUAUGUGACAAGCAAAUUUUCCAGAAACACUGACAUGGAAACAGGAUCUUUCUUCUCCUACUGUUUGUUCCUCGACUACAGUUAUAAUCCUCUAUUUGUGACAUCAUAAUUAGUUGCCACUGGAGAAGACGAUCGUGUCACAAAAGGAUUAGGACCUAAGCAAUCUCCACUGAUGGAGGCAAGAUGGCUGCCAUGGGCACCAGUCCCACAAUCUAUCUCUUAGUAGACCACUGAGGAAAGAGGAUGCCUCUCUCUCAUUCUUCCAGAAAAGGCCCCAGUGUAGCUCUGAUGGCUCUGAUUGACCUUUAGAACUGGUUCUACUUAAUCAGUUCUACUUAAACUACAUGGAUUAAGAAAAAUUAGGAUGUUAUA
This 766-nucleotide long non-coding RNA is filed under the name Homo sapiens (human). RNAcentral's name for it is "HSALNT0373048". The record is from RNAcentral. Lineage: Eukaryota; Metazoa; Chordata; Mammalia; Primates; Hominidae.